Bacillus rossius redtenbacheri is the source of this 1342-nucleotide long non-coding RNA. RefSeq lists it as uncharacterized. The record is from RefSeq and is a predicted model, not a curated record. NCBI's taxonomy places the organism in Eukaryota, Metazoa, Arthropoda, Insecta, Phasmatodea, Bacillidae. The transcript is spliced from 2 exons.
UCUAAAAUGUUCUGAGUUUCUUAUGUUAACGUACUGCAAAAUUGAGUAUGAUGUAGUCUCUGAUAUAUUUAUGUCUCGAUGGGCUCGCCAACCUAUAUUCAAUAAGUUAUUUUGGUUUGACCGUCCUUUACUGUGUUCGUGAAGCUUUUGUGCUAUAGUUGUUUAAUAAAACUGUACAAAAUGUCCUUGCCAGGAUUUCUCAGAAAUGUAACAAAAUUGUAUAGCUGCAGUAGGACUGCGAAGAGCAGCAGUUUCCUGUGUGCGAAGUAUCAUAACGGAUACCAGCAUAUGCAGGAACGCAUGCCAUAUCAGGCAACGCAAAGAAAUGCUAUUUAUCUGUCUAAAGUAGUAGAUGGACGAAGCAGCCUUAUUGGACUGGUAAAUGCGAAGGCGUUUUCGACGUCACCUCACCGUCUGGCGUCCCACGAUCAUACGAAGCUGUGGUCUGCCGAGAGAGCGCUCAGUGUAGCGCUUUUGGGGGUAGUGCCUGUCGCUUUGAUGUAUCCUUCGCAGGCGAUGGAUUGCAUUCUAGCAACUACACUUGUCAUGCACAACCACUGGGGCAUUGAAGCCAACGUUGUGGAUUACGUGCGUCCUAUUAUAUUUGGACCUGUGAUUCCCAAAAUAGCCGUUAUGGCUGUUUAUGGUGUUUCGAUUAUAACCCUGGCAGGAUUGUUGUAUUUCAUUUUCAAUGAUGUUGGAAUUGCCAAUGGAAUAAGGUUACUGUGGAAGCUGUAACCCAAUUCAAGUGUGGGUUAGCCAAGGAGCCUGACUACUAGCAAAUCACCAAGAAGCUGUGUAAUACUAGUUACAGCAUUUCAAUAUUAAAGUGUUCUGUCUUCUAUAAUAACUGUUUAGUUAUGGGAAUGAACUUGAUGAAUAUAAGUAUUGCAUAAUCAAUAGUUUUACGUAGGGUAUGGCUGAAAAGUCCUAGAAAAAUUAAAAGAAAUGUGUUGGACAGCACCAUGUAUUUAGUAUCAAGAGGGGAUCAUGUUCUGGCUUCAUUACUAGCAUGGAAGAUGUACAACAUGCCAGCUUGAGCUUCACCUCCACCAGGCAUCAGCGAAACUAAAACUGACAAUUAGUUCACAUUUUUGACAUCAUGAGUGUGACAUGUACCUGCUGUGUUAUCUAGAUAUGUGCUGCUGAAUUGCUUCAUAAUGUCAGCUCCUACGUUUAUGUAUCAUCCGACUGUUGCAUUGGUGCCAUUGUCUGGCACUGAUUGUUCUCUUGUUCUCUUUUGAUGCCAUUGAUUUAUGUAAAACAUAAUGGUUUGCUAAGUUUGAAAUACUCUGCAUAAUUUAGUUAUAAUUCUAAUAAACAUGAAUAAUGUGGCAAAGUG